UCCGUUGAUUUUAAAAAUCGUGAGGGUUCAAGUCCCUCUAUCCCCAAAAAAAGCCCAUUUGACUCCUUAA
This 70-nucleotide transfer RNA is filed under the name Bupleurum longiradiatum. RNAcentral describes it as "partial tRNA-Leu". The record is from RNAcentral. Lineage: Eukaryota; Viridiplantae; Streptophyta; Magnoliopsida; Apiales; Apiaceae.